GCGGUUGCGCGUUCCGCCGCUGGCACUUCGGUGCUGGAGGAAAGUCCGGACAACGCAGAGCGCCAGGCUUUGGAAACAAAGGCCGGGGUAACCCGGUAGAAAGUGCCACAGAAAAGAACCGGCCGCAAGGUCAAGGGUGAAAACGUGAGGUAAGAGCUCACGCGCUCCGAUGGUGACAUCGGUUUGGGGUAAACCUCCUGGGUUGCAA
This 208-nucleotide RNase P RNA is filed under the name Sphingomonadales bacterium. Its description in RNAcentral is "partial RNase P RNA component class A". It matches the Rfam family "Bacterial RNase P class A", at positions 1 to 225 of the family's 367-position model. Rfam says of the family: Ribonuclease P (RNase P) is a ubiquitous endoribonuclease, found in archaea, bacteria and eukarya as well as chloroplasts and mitochondria. Its best characterised activity is the generation of mature 5'-ends of tRNAs by cleaving the 5'-leader elements of precursor-tRNAs. Cellular RNase Ps are ribonucleoproteins. Lineage: Bacteria; Pseudomonadati; Pseudomonadota; Alphaproteobacteria; Sphingomonadales. The record is from RNAcentral.